GAUGAACGCUGGCGGCGUGCCUAAUACAUGCAAGUCGAGCGAACGGACGAGAAGCUUGCUUCUCUGAUGUUAGCGGCGGACGGGUGAGUAACACGUGGAUAACCUACCUAUAAGACUGGGAUAACUUCGGGAAACCGGAGCUAAUACCGGAUGAUAUUUUGAACCGCAUGGUUCAAAAGUGAAAGACGGUCUUGCUGUCACUUAUAGAUGGAUCCGCGCUGCAUUAGCUAGUUGGUAAGGUAACGGCUUACCAAGGCAACGAUGCAUAGCCGACCUGAGAGGGUGAUCGGCCACACGGGAACUGAGACACGGUCCAGACUCCUACGGGAGGCAGCAGUAGGGAAUCUUCCGCAAUGGGCGAAGGCCUGACGGAGCAACGCCGCGUGAGUGAUGAAGGUCUUCGGAUCGUAAAACUCUGUUAUUAGGGAAGAACAUAUGUGUAAGUAACUGUGCACAUCUUGACGGUACCUAAUCAGAAAGCCACGGCUAACUACGUG
RNAcentral lists this ribosomal RNA (497 nucleotides) under uncultured bacterium. Its description in RNAcentral is "partial 16S ribosomal RNA". It matches the Rfam family "Bacterial small subunit ribosomal RNA", at positions 28 to 507 of the family's 1533-position model. The record is from RNAcentral.